AGAACGAACGCUGGCGGCAUGCCUAAUACAUGCAAGUCGAACGAACACUUCGGUGUUAGUGGCGCACGGGUGCGUAACGCGUGGGAAUCUGCCCUUGGGUUCGGAAUAACAGUUGGAAACGACUGCUAAUACCGGAUGAUAUCGAAAGAUCAAAGAUUUAUCGCCCAGGGAUGAGCCCGCGUAGGAUUAGCUAGUUGGUGAGGUAAAGGCUCACCAAGGCGACGAUCCUUAGCUGGUCUGAGAGGAUGAUCAGCCACACUGGGACUGAGACACGGCCCAGACUCCUACGGGAGGCAGCAGUAGGGAAUAUUGGACAAUGGGCGCAAGCCUGAUCCAGCAAUGCCGCGUGAGUGAUGAAGGCCUUAGGGUUGUAAAGCUCUUUUACCCGAGAUGAUAAUGACAGUAUCGGAGAAUAAGCUCCGGCUAACCCCGUGCCAGCAGCCGC
Molecule: ribosomal RNA, 445 nt
Filed under: uncultured soil bacterium
Lineage: Bacteria
Description: bacterial SSU rRNA
Rfam family: Bacterial small subunit ribosomal RNA
Source: RNAcentral